GAACGGUAACAGGAAGCAGCUUGCUGCUUCGCUGACGAGUGGCGGACGGGUGAGUAAUGUCUGGGAAACUGCCUGAUGGAGGGGGAUAACUACUGGAAACGGUAGCUAAUACCGCAUAACGUCGCAAGACCAAAGAGGGGGACCUUCGGGCCUCUUGCCAUCGGAUGUGCCCAGAUGGGAUUAGCUAGUAGGUGGGGUAACGGCUCACCUAGGCGACGAUCCCUAGCUGGUCUGAGAGGAUGACCAGCCACACUGGAACUGAGACACGGUCCAGACUCCUACGGGAGGCAGCAGUGGGGAAUAUUGCACAAUGGGCGCAAGCCUGAUGCAGCCAUGCCGCGUGUAUGAAGAAGGCCCUCGGGUUGUAAAGUACUUUCAGCGGGGAGGAAGGCGAUAAGGUUAAUAACCUUGUCGAUUGACGUUACCCGCAGAAGAAGCACCGGCUAACUCCGUGCCAGCAGCCGCGGUAAUACGGAGGGUGCAAGCGUUAAUCGGAAUUACUGGGCGUAAA
RNAcentral lists this ribosomal RNA (511 nucleotides) under uncultured bacterium. RNAcentral describes it as "bacterial SSU rRNA". It matches the Rfam family "Bacterial small subunit ribosomal RNA", at positions 64 to 564 of the family's 1533-position model. The record is from RNAcentral.